ACUCAAAUGAAUAGACGGGGGCCCGCACAAGCGGUGGAGCAUGUGGUUUAAUUCGACGCAACGCGAAGAACCUUACCAACCCUUGACAUGCCCGGACGGUUUCCAGAGAUGGACUCCUCCCAGCAAUGGGCCGGGACACAGGUGCUGCAUGGCUGUCGUCAGCUCGUGUCGUGAGAUGUUGGGUUAAGUCCCGCAACGAGCGCAACCCUCGCCAUUAGUUGCCAUCAUUCAGUUGGGCACUCUAGUGGGACUGCCGGUGAUAAGCCGGAGGAAGGUGGGGCUGAAGUCAAGUCAUCAUGGCCCUUACGGGUUGGGCUACACACGUGCUACAAUGGCGGUGACAGUGGGCAGCUACCUAGCAAUAGGCAGCUAAUCCCAAAAAGCCGUCUCAGUUCGGAUCGGGGUCUGCAACUCGACCCCGUGAAGUCGGAAUCGCUAGUAAUCGCAGAUCAGCACGCUGCGGUGAAUACGUUCCCGGGCCUUGUACACACCGCCCGU
This 498-nucleotide ribosomal RNA is filed under the name uncultured bacterium. RNAcentral describes it as "partial 16S ribosomal RNA". It matches the Rfam family "Bacterial small subunit ribosomal RNA", at positions 899 to 1397 of the family's 1533-position model. The record is from RNAcentral.